This 383-nucleotide long non-coding RNA is filed under the name Prunus persica (peach). RNAcentral's name for it is "long non-coding RNA (PPER_LNC000089)". Lineage: Eukaryota; Viridiplantae; Streptophyta; Magnoliopsida; Rosales; Rosaceae. The record is from RNAcentral.
ACUCGUUCUUCGGUUUCAACUUCGACCAUCCGUUGCAAUAGCCAUCUCUGAACCUGGAGAAUCAUCAGAGCACCCACAUUCGAAUUCUAUUUUCAGGGGCUUGCAGGUUUUAUUAACUGAUGAUGAUGAUGUAAACAGGGCUGUGACGCGGAGACUGCUUGAGAAGCUAGGCUGCAUUGUAACUUCUGUUUCAUCUGGAUUAGAAUGCCUUUCUACUAUUGGUCCCGCUGGAACCUCUAUCCAAAUUGUUUUUCUGGAUCUUCACAUGCCUGAGUUGGAUGGUUUUGAAGUUGCAUUGAGAAUUAGAAAAUUUCGAAGCCGAACGUGGCCAUUGAUUAUUGGCAUAACCGCUAGUGCUGAUGAAGAUGUGUGGGAUCGAUGUA